ACAAUGGCGAAUUCCAUUUUCAGUUCCUCUUUUGCUGCCAUGGGGUCAAAAGCUUUGGAUUCUUCCAUGUCUCUUUUAAACUACAAUUGGACCUUAAAACCAAUUUAUCAAUUUUCAAUCAUCUCGCGAUCUAUUUCGUCGUAGAAAAAGUAAUUAGGGGAUUGUUUUUGUAUACUAAUAAAAUGUUUUUCAUAUUUGCGUUCUCAAUUUUUUUAGAAUUUAAUUUCUCAGCUUUUUGCAUUUUCUUUUGGUUUUAGUUAAGUCUAAUUUGAUGGAUUAACAAUUGACUAUAUGCGAUUUAUUUUUUAUUUUCUUGUUCAUGGAUAGUCUGGUUUGGAUGGUUGUGUAGGAACAUUAUGAUGUGUGCUUAUGUGGAUGGUUUGGAUUCAGUGAAUUCAAGUUCGAUUUCAUUGGCUAGCAAAUUUCUCUUUUGCCACUUUUUAAGUUUUAGCUACUGAUUUCACAUGUUAUUAGAUGUUUGAAUGCAUAUAAUAGCAAAUGAUGAGAAGUUUCUACUUCUGUUGCUUGUUAGGUAUAUUUAAUGGCAUGGUUGCUUACUCUUCUUUAGAAUGACAAUUGGGUAGAAAUUCCAUCAAUCGAGGUGCAUGUAAUCUAUUUGAAGGCUUAAAUGUUAAUCAAUUUGUUUUUGUUUAUGAUUUAAUUCCUUCUGAAGAGACACUAACAUUUAUGAACUUACACUGAAAUCUUGAACUUGUUUGGUCACAUUUUAUUAUGUUUCCUUCUCAACUGCUGUUUUUGUGACUGUUCCCCUUUUAUGAUCAUAUAACAUAAACUUUAUUCAUGUCUACAGUGGAGCACGAUUUUCUUUUCAAAUUGAUUCUUGUUUCAUGACUCCUUUAUCUAUUGGCACAUACAUAGAUUCACUCUUGGUGCAUGUUUAUAGUAUUGAUUGCCAAGGUAUUGACAUUAUUAACAUAUUUCUUUUUUGAAAGUCUGAGCAGGAGGCUGAUGUCCCAAUGCCAAUUGUCCUGAUAGAUCAC
RNAcentral lists this long non-coding RNA (1001 nucleotides) under Olea europaea (common olive). Its description in RNAcentral is "long non-coding RNA (OEUR_LNC000241)". The record is from RNAcentral. Lineage: Eukaryota; Viridiplantae; Streptophyta; Magnoliopsida; Lamiales; Oleaceae.